GUGGGGAAUCUUGCGCAAUGGGCGAAAGCCUGACGCAGCCAUGCCGCGUGAAUGAUGAAGGUCUUAGGAUUGUAAAAUUCUUUCACCGGGGACGAUAAUGACGGUACCCGGAGAAGAAGCCCCGGCUAACUUCGUGCCAGCAGCCGCGGUAAUACGAAGGGGGCUAGCGUUGCUCGGAAUUACUGGGCGUAAAGGGCGCGUAGGCGGACAGUUUAGUCAGAGGUGAAAGCCCAGGGAUCAACCUGGGAAUUGCCUUUGAUACUGGCUGUCUUGAGUACGGGAGAGGUGAGUGGAACUCCGAGUGUAGAGGUGAAAUUCGUAGAUAUUCGGAAGAACACCAGUGGCGAAGGCGACUCACUGGCCCGUUACUGACGCUGAGGCGCGAAAGCGUGGGGAGCAAACAGGAUUAGAAACCCGAGUAGUCC
Molecule: ribosomal RNA, 425 nt
Filed under: uncultured bacterium
Lineage: Bacteria
Description: partial 16S ribosomal RNA
Rfam family: Bacterial small subunit ribosomal RNA
Source: RNAcentral